AAUAUUGGUCAAUGGAGGCAACUCUGAACCAGCCACGUCCGGUGAAGGAUGACGGCCCUACGGGUUGUAAACUUCUUUUAUACAGGAAUAAAGUGAGUCACGGGUGACUUUUUGCAUGUAACGUUUGAAUAAGGAUCAGCUAACGCCGUGCCAGCAGCCGCGGUAAUACGGAGGAUCAAAGCGCUAUCCGGAUUUAUUGGUUUUAAAGGGUGCGCAGGCGGGAGAUUAAGUCGGCGGUGAAAUUAUGCAGCUCAACUGUAAAAGUGCCAUCGUUACUGGUUUUCUUGAGUGUGGAUGAAGUAGGCGGAAUUUAUGGUGUAGCGAUGAAAUGCAUAGAUAUCACGAGGAACUCAGAUUGCGCAGGCAGCCUACUAGGCCAUAACUGACGCUCAGGCACGAAGGCGUGGGGAUCAAACAGG
Molecule: ribosomal RNA, 419 nt
Filed under: uncultured bacterium
Lineage: Bacteria
Description: partial 16S ribosomal RNA
Rfam family: Bacterial small subunit ribosomal RNA
Source: RNAcentral